GCCUCUAUUCAUGGUCCAGAUGCGCGAGUAUAUAAGCAGUCUGAAGAAGGGCUAUCCGUGCUUGAAGUACGGUGAAGGACAAAGGCGAGUAUAGCUACUAGUUCUAUCUCAACGGAUGAUGAGAUAAUAAAACAUCUCACAUAACUAGAGGAGAAGAUAGCUUAACUCACAGAGAUUGUGUCUCGAUUGGCGAUGCCUUCAACAUGAGUACCAACAACUCCUAUCUUCGGAUAAAACCACAUGGUUCAGUAAGGAGGCGAGGAAGCAAAAAAUUUUUCAUCUUCAGUUCCAAUUUAACAGGAGCUAAAUUCUCUAAAUAAGAAAAGAUCUGAUUCAAGAGAAUCACUGGACUCGAUGUUAAUCACUUUGGCCACUAUGAGUAUUCAGGAGGAUCACCAAACUUGAUGUGGAUCACUUUGGCUACUGCGAGUAUCCAAAGGGAUUACCAAACUCGAUAUGAAAUACUCUGACUACUACGAGUAUUUAGGAAGAUCAUUAUACUCGAUAUGGAAUACUUUAGCCACUACAAGCAGGGCUCACAGGGCUCAGG
This 550-nucleotide long non-coding RNA is filed under the name Phoenix dactylifera (date palm). RNAcentral's name for it is "long non-coding RNA (PDAC_LNC019668)". Lineage: Eukaryota; Viridiplantae; Streptophyta; Magnoliopsida; Arecales; Arecaceae. The record is from RNAcentral.